GACGAACGCUGGCGGCGUGCUUAACACAUGCAAGUCGAACGGAAAGGCCCUGCUUUUGUGGUGUGCUCGAGUGGCGAAAGGGUGAGUAACACGUGAGUAACCUGCCCUUGACUUUGGGAUAACUUCAGGAAACUGGGGCUAAUACCGGAUAGGAUCUCCUGCUGCAUGGUGGGGGUUGGAAAGUUUCGGCGGUUGGGGAUGGACUCGCGGCUUAUCAGCUUGUUGGUGGGGUAGUGGCUUACCAAGGCUUGGACGGGUAGCCGGCCUGAGAGGGUGACCGGCAACAUUGGGACUGAGAUACGGCCCAGACUCCUACGGGAGGCAGCAGUGGGGAAUAUUGCAAAAUGGGCGGAAGCCUGCUGCAGCAACGCCGCGUGCGGGAGGACGGCCUUCGGGUUGUAAACCGCUUUCGCCUGUGACGAAGCGUGAGUGACGGUAAUGGGGAAAGAAGCACCGGCUAACUACGU
This 467-nucleotide ribosomal RNA is filed under the name uncultured bacterium. RNAcentral's name for it is "partial 16S ribosomal RNA". It matches the Rfam family "Bacterial small subunit ribosomal RNA", at positions 28 to 506 of the family's 1533-position model. The record is from RNAcentral.